This 2488-nucleotide small RNA is filed under the name Candidatus Aquirickettsiella gammari. RNAcentral describes it as "bacterial SSU rRNA". The stretch from base 295 to 1857 matches the Rfam family "Bacterial small subunit ribosomal RNA". Lineage: Bacteria; Pseudomonadati; Pseudomonadota; Gammaproteobacteria; Legionellales; Coxiellaceae. The record is from RNAcentral.
UCUUGACAGAAAAGGUGAAUGAGGUAGAAUUCGCGAGCUCCUGGGUUUUCGGCUCGAGGUGCUAGGAGGAGUGGAGAAUUAUUGAGGAAUUAGUGAAGACUAAAGAAGCAAUAAAUUUGAGACGAAUCGUAAGAGAGUUCAUUAAAAAUUAGAGAUAAGCUAAGCAAAGUGUGUGGGCGCUUGGCAAGAGUUGACAUGAGGGCUGUUGAGAGAGAUUUUGGCAGUUAUAAGUGUCAGCAACCGAGCGCUGAGAUUGUGAGAGAUCAUAAUUUGAGUGAGACGGGAUUAAACAAAAAAGUGAAGAGUUUGAUCCUGGCUCAGAUUGAACGCUGGCGGCAUGCCUAACACAUGCAAGUCGAACGGCAGCACAGUAAAGAUUUCGGUCUUUAUGGGUGGCGAGUGGCGGACGGGUGAGUAAUACGUAGGAAUCUGUCCUGGAGAGGGGGAUAACCCGAGGAAACUCGGGCUAAUACCGCAUGAUAUUGAGAAAUCAAAAGCAGGGGACCUGAAAGGGCCUUGCGCUCUGGGUUGAGCCUACGUCGGAUUAGCUAGUUGGUGGGGUAAAGGCCUACCAAGGCAACGAUUCGUAGUUGGUCUGAGAGGAUGACCAGCCACACUGGGACUGAGACACGGCCCAGACUCCUACGGGAGGCAGCAGUGGGGAAUUUUGGACAAUGGGGGAAACCCUGAUCCAGCGAUGCCGCGUGUGUGAAGAAGGCCUUCGGGUUGUAAAGCACUUUAGGUGGGGAAGAAAGGUAGUUGUUGAAUAAAUGACUGCUGUGACGGUACCCGCAGAAUAAGCACCGGCUAACUCUGUGCCAGCAGCCGCGGUAAUACAGAGGGUGCAAGCGUUAAUCAGAAUGACUGGGCGUAAAGGGCGUGUAGGUGGUUGACUAGGUUUGAUGUGAAAUCCCCGGGCUUAACCUGGGAAUUGCGUCGAAAACGGGUCGACUGGAGUGAGAUAGAGGGUUGUGGAAUUUCCGGUGUAGCGGUGAAAUGCGUAGAUAUCGGAAAGAACAUCAGUGGCGAAGGCGACAACCUGGAUCUUAACUGACACUGAGGCGCGAAGGCGUGGGGAGCAAACAGGAUUAGAUACCCUGGUAGUCCACGCAGUAAACGAUGAGAACUGGCUGUGAUGCGUAGGGAGCAAUCUCUGCGCGACGUAGCGAAGCUAACGCGUUAAGUUCUCCGCCUGGGGAGUACGGCCGCAAGGUUAAAACUCAAAGGAAUUGACGGGGGCCCGCACAAGCGGUGGAGCAUGUGGUUUAAUUCGAUGCAACCCGAAGAACCUUACCUACCCUUGACAUCCUUGGAAUGAGGCAGAGAUGCCUUAGUGCCGAAAGGAACCAAGAGACAGGUGCUGCAUGGCUGUCGUCAGCUCGUGUCGUGAGAUGUUGGGUUAAGUCCCGUAACGAGCGCAACCCUUAUCCUUUAUUGCCAACAGGUAAAGCUGGGAACUUAAGGGAGACUGCCGGUGAUAAACCGGAGGAAGGUGGGGACGACGUCAAGUCAUCAUGGCCUUUAUGGGUAGGGCUACACACGUGCUACAAUGGAGCGUACAGAGGGAAGCCAACCCGCGAGGGGGAGCCAAUCCUUUAAAACGCUUCGUAGUCCGGAUUGGAGUCUGCAACUCGACUCCAUGAAGUUGGAAUCGCUAGUAAUCGCGAAUCAGCAAGUCGCGGUGAAUACGUUCUCGGGCCUUGUACACACCGCCCGUCACACCAUGGGAGUGGGUUUUACCAGAAGGCGGUAGAUUAACUUCGCAAGAAGGGAUCGCCGACCACGGUAAGAUUCAUGACUGGGGUGAAGUCGUAACAAGGUAGCCGUAGGGGAACCUGCGGCUGGAUCACCUCCUUAUGAAAAUAAGAUAAAUAAACCCUACGCCCAGCGCCCACACACAUUGCUUAAUUUGUCAGAUAAAUAAUUUUAUAAGAUUAAUAUAGCGCUGGAGGCCAGCGGAUGUAUUUUUUUUUGGCCGAUGCCAUAAAAUAAAGCACAUUCCGUUGGCUUUCAUCGCCUUGGAAGAAUUAGAAAACAGGAUUAAUAAAGAGUUUAUUACUAGAGAAGCGAUAGAUUUUGCUUGAGUGCAAGGCGGUUUGCCGUUGAGAAGCGGAUUGUACUGGAAGGUACAUGAGCAUCGGAAACGGCAAACCAACGAAGCAAUCAAGUAACAAACGAGCUUCCUACAAGGUUAAGGGUCUGUAGCUCAGUUGGUUAGAGCACACGCUUGAUAAGCGUGGGGUCGGUGGUUCAAGUCCACCCAGACCCACCAGCUAAAAAGAGUGAUAUUUGUACCAGCUUUGCGAAGCGGAAGAUAAAGCGCUUUGGCAUAGGACUAAAAGACGAAGGUCUUUAAGGUAAAGAGGGGCCAUAGCUCAGCUGGGAGAGCAUCGGCUUUGCAAGCCGAGGGUCGUCGGUUCGAUCCCGACUGGCUCCACCAAAUACAGGCUCGUAAAAGAAUUAUAAGGGAAGAAGGAAAUAAUAAUAA